CCUUUUUCGUACUUUUUGUUUUUGUCCUUUUCUUUUUAAGAGGAGGUUCAUCCAGAUGCCUUCUCCUGACCCAGCUUACUCACUGGAAAAUAGGAUGGAGCAAACAGAAUUAGGAUUUAACCCCAUUCAAGGUGCAGAAGAAUUCGAAGGUGGGAGCUGUCAUCAUCUACAUUUGCCAGAGAAGGAAACCAAGAAGUUAACUUACUUGCUGAAGGUAACACAGUUUCUGGAGCAGAAUUUGAAUCCAGAUCUUCUUGCUCCAAGUAAAUACUGUUUCUUUCAUAAUAUUCUGCCUCUCAAAUUAACUUUUUUGUGUAUUCCCAUUGCCACAUUCAAGAACACACACACACACACACACACACACACACACACACAAGUGCGAAUGCCUGCACAAAACAUGUAACCUUCUUUAUACAGAUCUACCUUUCCAGAUACAGAUUUAUUUAUGUCAUUUUGCUGAGCAAGCUAACAGUCUCUCUCCCUGAAGGACAGUAUUGUACAUAAACCUGAGAUUUUAUGGAGUCUUCGAGGCCUCUGAUAACCUUUUACAAUUUUCCCUUGUUAAUUAACAGAGCCAAUGGCUUUCCCUCAAUAGACGCUAUGUAUUCUUGCUGCGUAUCCCCUGUUUGUUGUGUGUAUUUGGGGAGUUGGAAGCUGUGCAGGGGAUGAAGACAUUAUUCUUGUCUGAAGUCAUGAGCCAGAUAGAUUCACCACACCUGGGAGGGGAGGAAGAACUAGACUGGGCCAGGCCAGGCCAGGCCAGGCCAGGCCAGGUCAGGCCAAGUCAGGUCACGCCUUUAGCUAAGGAUUAGAUAAGAAAGCUUUGUGGACCAUUAAUCUGAGACUGGGUAGUUGUCUGGUCUACAUACUUCUAAUCAUUUUAGCCUGAUGUGUUAUUUCUGGAUUGUUUAUUCUCUUUUCCCUUGUGAAUUAGCUUUGGAAAACACUCUCUUAUGAACUAGAAUAUAUGGUGAUGGAGUGAAAAGGGAAAUGAGUGUUGGGAAAGAACCACAAGAUCUAUAGAGGGGGAAGAGAUAAUUAAGGGAGUUGGAUAACAGAUCUCCCAAGUCCAGAGAAACAAAUCAGGGCCAAAGAAUGAGAAAAUAAUGGGCUACGGGGCUUUAAGGAUGGGACUGAAGGAUCAAGAAUGAGUUAGUAAGAGAUGAAAAGUGAAAGUUCUGGUGGAGGGAUCCUAAGACAAUUCUCUGAGUGGUCUCUAAGAAGAGGAGAAGCAAGAAAUUGGCUAUAACUCUGGAAAGACUGAAGUCCAGGGCCAAAACCUGGGGUCUUUGUAGAGACAGAAAAAAAAAAAAACUCUUCAGCUCCUCUGACUUACAGGAAUGAGUAGGUAGGAAGGAGUUCCAGAACUUUAUAGGAAUUUUCUUUCACCUGGGGGAUAAAAUAUGGUAAAUGAUGGAGCCUCACAACAAGAAGAAUACUUUUGUGGUAGCAGGUUUUAGCAUUAGAGCAGCUAGGUGUCAGAGUAGAGUGCCAGGCCUGGAGUCAGAAAGACCCAUCUUCCUGAGUUAAAAUCUGCUACUAGCUGUGUGACCCUGGGAAGCCACUUAACCCUGUUAGCCUCAGUUUCAUCAUCUGUAAAAUGAGCUGGAGAAGGAAAAGGCCAACCACUCUAGUACCUUUGCCAAGAAAACUACAAAUGGGGUCAUGAAGAGUCAGACAUGACUAAAAUAACUGAAUGGCAACAACAACUAACAACAACAGGAUCAGGAAUUAGUAACAUUAAUAUUAGUUCUCCCAGUGACUAAAAUAAAUGUCAGGGUGGGAUUUGAACUCA
Long non-coding RNA from Monodelphis domestica (gray short-tailed opossum), 1795 nucleotides. NCBI's taxonomy places the organism in Eukaryota, Metazoa, Chordata, Mammalia, Didelphimorphia, Didelphidae. The record is from Ensembl.